This 468-nucleotide ribosomal RNA is filed under the name uncultured bacterium. Its description in RNAcentral is "partial 16S ribosomal RNA". It matches the Rfam family "Bacterial small subunit ribosomal RNA", at positions 28 to 507 of the family's 1533-position model. The record is from RNAcentral.
GACGAACGCUGGCGGCGUGCUUAACACAUGCAAGUCGAACGGAAAGGCCCUGCUUUUGUGGGGUGCUCGAGUGGCGAACGGGUGAGUAACACGUGAGUAACCUGCCCUUGACUUUGGGAUAACUUCAGGAAACUGGGGCUAAUACCGGAUAGGAGCUCCUGCUGCAUGGUGGGGGUUGGAAAGUUUCGGCGGUUGGGGAUGGACUCGCGGCUUAUCAGCUUGUUGGUGGGGUAGUGGCUUACCAAGGCUUUGACGGGUAGCCGGCCUGAGAGGGUGACCGGCCACAUUGGGACUGAGAUACGGCCCAGACUCCUACGGGAGGCAGCAGUGGGGAAUAUUGCACAAUGGGCGGAAGCCUGAUGCAGCAACGCCGCGUGCGGGAUGACGGCCUUCGGGUUGCAAACCGCUUUCGCCUGUGACGAAGCGUGGGUGACGGUAAUGGGUAAAGAAGCACCGGCUAACUACGUG